RNAcentral lists this ribosomal RNA (449 nucleotides) under Pomacea insularum. RNAcentral describes it as "partial small subunit ribosomal RNA". It matches the Rfam family "Microsporidia small subunit ribosomal RNA", at positions 719 to 1311 of the family's 1311-position model. Lineage: Eukaryota; Metazoa; Mollusca; Gastropoda; Architaenioglossa; Ampullariidae. The record is from RNAcentral.
UCUGGAUUAUAAACUUAUUUACCUGAGCACUAUGAAUAGAAGAUUCUGUGUUAAUUUAAAACUCAAAAGGCUUGGCGGUGUUUUAGACUUUUCAGGGGAACCUGUCUCUUAAUCGAUAGUCCACGAUAGACCUAACUUUAUUUUAGGGUAUGUAUACCGUCGUCAACAGGUGACUUUUAAAAAAAUAAAAGUUAGCAAGUAAAAAAAUUUAUUUUUUAUGUCAGAUCAAGGUGCAGCUUAUAAAAAAGUGAGGAUGGGUUACAAUUAAUAAAAUUUUAAUUACGAAGAUGUUGAUGAAAUUCAUAUUUGAAGGAGGACUUGAAAGUAAAAAUUUAACUAUAUAGACGUUUUGAAUAUAGCUCUGAAACGUGCACACAUCGCCCGUCGCUCUCGCUGAAAAAUGAGAUAAGUCGUAACAUAGUAAUGGUAACGGAAGUUGUCGUUAGAUG